CAGGCUGCAACUCGCCUGCAUGAAGUUGGAAUUGCUAGUAAUCGCGAAUCNGAAUGUCGCGGUGAAUACGUUCCCGGGCCUUGUACACACCGCCCGUCACACCAUGAGAGUCGAUAACACCCGAAGCCUGUGAGCUAACCGCAAGGGGGCAGCAGUCGAAGGUGGGGUUGAUGAUUGGGGUGAAGUCGUAACAAGGUACC
This 200-nucleotide ribosomal RNA is filed under the name uncultured bacterium. RNAcentral's name for it is "partial 16S ribosomal RNA". It matches the Rfam family "Bacterial small subunit ribosomal RNA", at positions 1301 to 1500 of the family's 1533-position model. The record is from RNAcentral.